AAGGAUUUAAGUUAAUUAAACUUUUAACCUUCAAAGUUAACAAUAGAUGCUAUCUAAGCCUUA
RNAcentral lists this transfer RNA (63 nucleotides) under Longitarsus exsoletus. RNAcentral's name for it is "tRNA-Trp". Lineage: Eukaryota; Metazoa; Arthropoda; Insecta; Coleoptera; Chrysomelidae. The record is from RNAcentral.